This 495-nucleotide ribosomal RNA is filed under the name uncultured bacterium. RNAcentral's name for it is "partial 16S ribosomal RNA". It matches the Rfam family "Bacterial small subunit ribosomal RNA", at positions 28 to 507 of the family's 1533-position model. The record is from RNAcentral.
GACGAACGCUGGCGGCGUGCCUAAUACAUGCCAGUAGAACGCUGAAGGAGGAGCUUGCUCUUCUGGAUGAGUUGCGAACGGGUGAGUAACGCGUAGGUAACCUGCCUGGUAGCGGGGGAUAACUAUUGGAAACGAUAGCUAAUACCGCAUAAGAGUAGAUGUUGCAUGACAUUUACUUAAAAGGUGCAAUUGCAUCACUACCAGAUGGACCUGCGUUGUAUUAGCUAGUUGGUGGGGUAACGGCUUACCAAGGCGACGAUACAUAGCCGACCUGAGAGGGUGAUCGGCCACACUGGGACUGAGACACGGCCCAGACUCCUACGGGAGGCAGCAGUAGGGAAUCUUCGGCAAUGGACGGAAGUCUGACCGAGCAACGCCGCGUGAGUGAAGAAGGUUUUCGGAUCGUAAAGCUCUGUUGUAAGAGAAGAACGAGUGUGAGAGUGGAAAGUUCACACUGUGACGGUAGCUUACCAGAAAGGGACGGCUAACUACGUG